Magnolia sinica is the source of this 397-nucleotide long non-coding RNA. RefSeq lists it as uncharacterized. The record is from RefSeq and is a predicted model, not a curated record. NCBI's taxonomy places the organism in Eukaryota, Viridiplantae, Streptophyta, Magnoliopsida, Magnoliales, Magnoliaceae. The transcript has 4 exons.
AAUGUUGCCACUACAAGGUUCAAUAUUGAAAUGUGAUUAUCAGAAGCAGUGGGCCAUCAUUGAAAGAGUACCCUUGUAAUUGCAUUGUGGAAUAUGCAUCCAUUAUUCAAAGAAAGGGCGACAUUCCAAGCACUCACACUUUCUCUCCUUGCUUGCUAAAUUGGCUGACAAGCUAAAGAAGUCGGUAGAGUAUGAAAUUCAUUUUCUCAAGGCAAGGGUUUCAGAACUUGAAAGUGAUCUUGUGUCAAAGUCCAUAGAAGUUACAUCUGCAGUUUUAAGGAAAGAAGAAGCUCUAUCUUCUGCAUUUGCUGAAAUUGACUGUCUGAAGGAAGAAAAUUCUGUAAAAAUGUAAGCAUUAUUGAAUGCAUAUGGAGGGUGUUUACUGUGUUAGAGUGUA